GAUGAACGCUGGCGGCGUGCUUAACACAUGCAAGUCGAACGGAGUUUAAAAUGAAGCUUGCGAUUUUUAAACUUAGUGGCGGACGGGUGAGUAACGCGUGGGUAACCUGCCUUAUACCGGGGGAUAACACUUAGAAAUAGGUGCUAAUACCGCAUAAGCGCACAGCUUCGCAUGAAGCAGUGUGAAAAACUCCGGUGGUAUAAGAUGGACCCGCGUCUGAUUAGCUAGUUGGUGAGGUAACGGCCCACCAAGGCGACGAUCAGUAGCCGGCCUGAGAGGGUGAACGGCCACAUUGGGACUGAGACACGGCCCAAACUCCUACGGGAGGCAGCAGUGGGGAAUAUUGGACAAUGGGGGAAACCCUGAUCCAGCGACGCCGCGUGAGUGAAGAAGUAUUUCGGUAUGUAAAGCUCUAUCAGCAGGGAAGAUAAUGACGUAC
This 439-nucleotide ribosomal RNA is filed under the name bacterium FB2005. Its description in RNAcentral is "bacterial SSU rRNA". It matches the Rfam family "Bacterial small subunit ribosomal RNA", at positions 28 to 459 of the family's 1533-position model. The record is from RNAcentral.